This 586-nucleotide ribosomal RNA is filed under the name Podospora appendiculata. Its description in RNAcentral is "eukaryotic LSU rRNA". The stretch from base 219 to 372 matches the Rfam family "5.8S ribosomal RNA". The record is from RNAcentral. Lineage: Eukaryota; Fungi; Ascomycota; Sordariomycetes; Sordariales; Podosporaceae.
UGGAAGUAAAAAGUCGUAACAAGGUCUCCGUUGGUGAACCAGCGGAGGGAUCAUUACAGAGUUGCAAAACUCCCUUAAACCAUCGCGAACGUACCCGUACCGUUGCUUCGGUGGGCGGCUCCAGGGCGGAGCCGAAGCCUUCACGGGCGCCCGCCGGAGGACCUAUACCUAACUAUUUAUCUUAACUGGCCUCUCUGAGUAUUUUUAUAAUAAGUAAAAACUUUCAACAACGGAUCUCUUGGUUCUGGCAUCGAUGAAGAACGCAGCGAAAUGCGAUAAGUAAUGUGAAUUGCAGAAUUCAGUGAAUCAUCGAAUCUUUGAACGCACAUUGCGCCCGCCAGUAUUCUGGCGGGCAUGCCUGUUCGAGCGUCAUUUCAACCAUCAAGCCCUGCUUGCGUUGGGGUCCUGCGGCUGCCCGCAGGCCCUUAAAACCAGUGGCGGGCUCGCUGUCACUCCGAGCGCAGUAAUACAUCUCGCUUUGGACCGUGCAGCGGGUACCGGCCGUUAAACACCCCCCUUUUACAAGGUUGACCUCGGAUCAGGUAGGAAUACCCGCUGAACUUAAGCAUAUCAAUAAGCGGAGGAA